This 492-nucleotide ribosomal RNA is filed under the name uncultured bacterium. RNAcentral's name for it is "partial 16S ribosomal RNA". It matches the Rfam family "Bacterial small subunit ribosomal RNA", at positions 29 to 507 of the family's 1533-position model. The record is from RNAcentral.
AGUGAACGCUGGCGGUAGGCCUAACACAUGCAAGUCGAACGGCAGCACAGUAAGAUCUUGCUCUUAUGGGUGGCGAGUGGCGGACGGGUGAGGAAUACAUCGGAAUCUACUCUUUCGUGGGGGAUAACGUAGGUAAACUUACUCUAAUACCGCAUACGACCUACGGGUGAAAGCAUGGGAUCUUCGGACCUUGCGCGAUUGAAUGAGCCGAUGUCGGAUUAGCUAGUUGGCGGGGUAAAGGCCCACCAAGUCGACGAUCCGUAGCUGGUCUGAGAGGAUGAUCAGCCACACUGGAACUGGGACACGGUCCAGACUCCUACGGGAGGCAGCAGUGGGGAAUAUUGGACAAUGGGCGGAAGCCUGAUCCAGCCAUACCGCGUGGGUGAAGAAGGCCUUCGGGUUGUAAAGCCCUUUUGUUGGGAAAGAAAAGCAGCAGGUUAAUACCACGCUGUUGUGACGGUACCCAAAGAAUAAGCACCGGCUAACUUCGUG